UCAGACGAUGCGUCAUGCAUAUCAAUAAGCGGAGGAAAAGAAACUAACAAGGAUUCCCUCAGUAACGGCGAGUGAAGCGGGAAGAGCUCAAAUUUGAAAUCUUGAAAGGUCUACCUUGCACGAAUUGUAGUUUAAAGAAGUGUUUUCUGUUACGAUCGUAAUAUAAGUUCUUUGGAAUAGGACAUCACAGAGGGUGAGAAUCCCGUCUAUGAUUGCGAUUUGUAGCUUUGUGAUACACUUUCAAAGAGUCGGGUUGUUUGGGAAUGCAGCCCAAAACGGGAGGUAAAUUUCUUCUAAGGCUAAAUAUUGGCGAGAGACCGAUAGCGAACAAGUACCGUGAGGGAAAGAUGAAAAGAACUUUGAAAAGAGAGUUAAAUAGUACGUGAAAUUGUCAAAAGGGAAGCGUUUAACACCAGUGUUGUUUUCUGAAAAUCAACCUCUGUUAGCUUUAUGCAUGUUUGUUUAGACCUAAUCAGCUAUCUUGCAUGUUCUAUUGUUUGCAGUGGUGCACUUUUCAGUUUACAGGUCAACAUCAGUUUUUUUUACCGUAAAAAAGUUAAAGAAAGGUAGCUCAUGGCUCCGGUCGUGAGUGUUAUAGCCUUUUUCCUGAUGCGGUAGGAGAGACUGAGGUCUGCAGUGUAGGCUAUUUGGCUAGAUACUCAGGUGCUAUGUGAUACCAUUUCAUAGAACAACUUGUUGAUUAUGUUUUGUCUAUUGCAUACUCGCUUGUACUAUCAUACCUACGCUUAGGAUGUUGACUGAUAUGUAGUCGUA
Molecule: ribosomal RNA, 774 nt
Filed under: uncultured Neocallimastigales
Lineage: Eukaryota; Fungi; Neocallimastigomycota; Neocallimastigomycetes; Neocallimastigales
Description: partial large subunit ribosomal RNA
Rfam family: Eukaryotic large subunit ribosomal RNA
Source: RNAcentral